CCCUUAGAUGUCCUGGGCCGCACGCGCGCUACACUGAUGCAUUCAACGAGUUUUACCUUGGCCGAGAGGCCUGGGCAAUCUUUUAAACCUGCAUCGUGAUGGGGAUAGAUUAUUGCAAUUAUUAAUCUUGAACGAGGAAUUCCUAGUAAACGCAGAUCAUCAAUCUGCAUUGAUUACGUCCCUGCCCUUUGUACACACCGCCCGUCGCACCUACCGAUUGAAUGGUCCGGUGAAGCCUCGGGAUUGUGGCCAGUUCACUUUAUUGGGAGUUGGCUGCGAGAACUUGUCUAAACCUUAUCAUUUAGAGGAAGGUGAAGUCGUAACA
Molecule: ribosomal RNA, 325 nt
Filed under: uncultured eukaryote
Lineage: Eukaryota
Description: partial 18S ribosomal RNA
Rfam family: Eukaryotic small subunit ribosomal RNA
Source: RNAcentral